UAGAAAGUAUUAUACUGGAGUAUAGGAAGUUUUGGACUUCCAGGUCUGAGUUCGAGCCUCAGCUUUCUAG
RNAcentral lists this transfer RNA (70 nucleotides) under Pareas boulengeri. RNAcentral's name for it is "tRNA-Gln". Lineage: Eukaryota; Metazoa; Chordata; Lepidosauria; Squamata; Pareidae. The record is from RNAcentral.